RNAcentral lists this ribosomal RNA (497 nucleotides) under uncultured bacterium. RNAcentral describes it as "partial 16S ribosomal RNA". It matches the Rfam family "Bacterial small subunit ribosomal RNA", at positions 28 to 507 of the family's 1533-position model. The record is from RNAcentral.
GACGAACGCUGGCGGCGUGCCUAAUACAUGCAAGUUGAGCGCUGAAGGUUGGUACUUGUACCAACUGGAUGAGCAGCGAACGGGUGAGUAACGCGUGGGGAAUCUGCCUUUGAGCGGGGGACAACAUUUGGAAACGAAUGCUAAUACCGCAUAAAAACUUUAAACACAAGUUUUAAGUUUGAAAGAUGCAAUUGCAUCACUCAAAGAUGAUCCCGCGUUGUAUUAGCUAGUUGGUGAGGUAAAGGCUCACCAAGGCGAUGAUACAUAGCCGACCUGAGAGGGUGAUCGGCCACAUUGGGACUGAGACACGGCCCAAACUCCUACGGGAGGCAGCAGUAGGGAAUCUUCGGAAAUGGACGAAAGUCUGACCGAGCAACGCCGCGUGAGUGAAGAAGGUUUUCGGAUCGUAAAACUCUGUUGGUAGAGAAGAACGUUGGUGAGAGUGGAAAGCUCAUCAAGUGACGGUAACUACACAGAAAGGGACGGCUAACUACGUG